Daphnia pulex (common water flea) is the source of this 484-nucleotide long non-coding RNA. RefSeq lists it as uncharacterized. NCBI's taxonomy places the organism in Eukaryota, Metazoa, Arthropoda, Branchiopoda, Diplostraca, Daphniidae. The transcript has 3 exons. The record is from RefSeq and is a predicted model, not a curated record.
AACAGCAUUUUUGUUGUUAUGGAUGUUUUUACUUCUGUUUAGAAGGCAACCCAGCUUAGAAAUAGGUACAGUUUUAUUUCUCAUGGGUAAAUUUAUGUCAAUUUAUAAGUAACAUAGAGAAUUUCCUUGUCCCAUUGCCACUUUCAGUUUCAGAGACAUGAAGCAUGUGGAGUGAAUAACCUGCCAUGUGUAUGCACAUGUACCAGAUCUGCUUGAUGAAAGUCAAAUGCCUUACUAAAUUCAUCUCCCAUAUGAUAAGGAAAUUUACAUCAACCUCAGGAGUAAGCCUGUUGGUUGCUGUGAUUUCCAUUUUUGCGGUUUUUUAUCAUGAAAACUUCAGUGUGCUUGUUAGUAUAGAGCAUGUAAAAGAUCCUAAUAAGCCAAUGCUGACCUUUGUCCAUGACGGAAGAGGGACAUCCAGAAACGUUCUGCUCCAUCCUUAUCUUCCCGACGUACACUCAUCUAGAUUCACUGCUUUUGCUGC